UCCUUUCCCCUCUGGGCUCCUGUGUUUCCACCUAAGCCCGGCUCACCCAUGAGCCAGGCAUCUGCUGGCAGAUGAGAACAAGACGUGGUCUCAGGAAGUCUGCAGGCAGACCAGGAGCCCAGGCCUUCAAGGAUGAGACCUGAGGCCAUGCCGCAUUCCUGGCCUGGCCAUGUCUGUUCAUAGAAUUGCCUCCACGUUAGCCAGCCCCAUGCCUCCAGACUCUAUGUCUACACAGCUCACCUUGGCCAUCUCGGGGCCAGAGGGCAGAAGCAGCUUAUGUUGGGAAGGGGCAUCUGAGAAGAAGAUGGGGGCUCGCUGUGUCGCACACGCUGGAGUGCAGUCGUGCAAUCAUGGCUUACUACAGCCUCAAACUCCUGGGCUCAAGCGACGCUCACACCUCAGCCUCCUAAGUAGCUGGGAUUACAGGAGCAGGUCUGCUUGUCAAGAGUCCAAGCACGCCUGUGUUCUGUGGCCACAGGAGAGGAGGGGCCGCUUUUAAAUACAAGCCUACUCCUGUCGUUGGACCAGAACAAAGACCUACUGGCCAGAAGCACAUGAGAGGAGUUUCACUCUUGUCGCCCAGACUAGAGCGCAAUGGUACGAUCUUGGCUCACUGCAACUUCCACCUCCCGAGUUCAAGCAAUUCUCCUGACAGAAGUCCACUCAAGCCAGCCAUUGUAGCUAGCAUCGGGGCUCCAGCC
RNAcentral lists this long non-coding RNA (701 nucleotides) under Homo sapiens (human). RNAcentral describes it as "non-protein coding lnc-ARVCF-4:6". The record is from RNAcentral. Lineage: Eukaryota; Metazoa; Chordata; Mammalia; Primates; Hominidae.